CACCACCUGAGUGUUGGGGACUUUUUCUUUCUUGGCCCUCCCACCUCCCACCGUUUUUCUGUUUUGUGUCACUUUCAUUUGGUUAAUAAUAUUCUAACAAGAUUUGUCAUUAUAGUUAUCUUAGUUUGAUGAGAUUUUUCUUCAUGAAAUUGAACAAAAAUAUCAGUCUUUGUUAAUUCUUUAUUAUUUAUUGUUUCGGAUGACACAGCAGGAAGGGAAAUAGGAAAGGCUCUACAUCAUUUGUCGUAUGUGCUCCACAAUUUGCCCUCAAGUUUGAAUCCUAGGUCCUACCACCCACACAAAACUGCCAUUGCCAGCCUGCUCAAUUCUACCCAAUCUCUAGCCAUUUUCAUACUGCAAAGUUCCUAUGACCUCCUCCCAAGGAGCUCAAUUCUGUACUUUACCUCUUCCUGACCUCCCUGGAAUCCACCCCGCCUCCAACCACACUGUAAUUAGAAUCUGAAUUCUGCAACUACCUUGAUGUUAGUCUCUGUAGGGGAGCAGCCUGCAGCCUCCUAUGGACUCCCAUUAAGACAGGAUAUUCCUUCCGUCUAGGGGGUGCUGAUUGCAACUUUUUUGCUAAGAUGAAAAGCUGGAGUCGAAAUGAGAAGAGAGGAGUUGUGGCAGGUAUUUUGUUUUGCAAUGGCUCCAGACUGCUCUUCCGUUUGAUAAAGUGGCUGU
This 681-nucleotide long non-coding RNA is filed under the name Homo sapiens (human). Its description in RNAcentral is "non-protein coding lnc-ZNF131-8:1". The record is from RNAcentral. Lineage: Eukaryota; Metazoa; Chordata; Mammalia; Primates; Hominidae.